RNA transcript from Homo sapiens (human), 1703 nucleotides. It is a transcript of the gene named DNA polymerase delta 4, accessory subunit, with no coding region annotated. The transcript has 4 exons. NCBI's taxonomy places the organism in Eukaryota, Metazoa, Chordata, Mammalia, Primates, Hominidae. The record is from RefSeq and is marked reviewed.
CUCUCUCGGUUUGUCUGGGUCAUCUUGUCUGCCCGCCGCUGGCCUGGCCCCGUCUGUCUCUCUCAGCAGCUGUCUUUCUCGCGCCCACUGGCCGGUCUCUCCUCUUCCCCGCAGUUGCCUCCUUCUCUGCCUGCCUGGGUGGCCGCCAUGGGCCGGAAGCGGCUCAUCACUGAUUCCUACCCGGUUGUGAAGAGGAGGGAGGGGCCCGCUGGGCACAGCAAGGGGGAGCUGGCACCCGAGCUAGGUCUCUGAGGGGAGGAGCCCCAGCCCCGCGACGAGGAGGAAGCGGAGCUGGAGCUGCUGAGGCAGUUUGACCUGGCCUGGCAGUACGGGCCCUGCACCGGGAUCACACGGCUGCAGCGCUGGUGUCGGGCCAAGCAGAUGGGCUUGGAGCCUCCCCCAGAGGUGUGGCAGGUGCUGAAGACCCACCCCGGAGACCCCCGCUUCCAGUGCAGUCUCUGGCAUCUCUAUCCCCUAUGAGGCACCACGUAAGACCUCCUGCCCUUAGCUCUCUUGCUCACCACCCAAGAACCUCAGGACAGAAGCGAGAGCCCAUUGCUCCUGCUCAGCUCAGCCCGGCUGCGGAGGAACCCUUGGCAGGCAGAACCUGGAGGUGUCAGAGGCUCAACUCCUCCAUCUAACCAGCAGGCUCCCAGAGUCCCCGGAAGAGCCUGCGCAGCUGAAGCAGAGUGCUUCUAGAUGGAGAGUGGUCACUGGGGAAAAGGACCUGGCCAUCACCUUCCAAUACCUGCUGCCUGUCUCCCUGACCCAUGAUCUGGCAAGUUAGGCACAGUCAGACAUGGACAGUUGAUCCAUGAGGAAAAGAUGCUCUCCCACCUAAGGCCAGGAAUCUGAGAGCAGGACUGGCUGAGCUCCCAGGGCAAGGGGUUCACUAAUGCUUAUCAAUAAAGAAUAUUGAGCCUGGAAUCCUGACCUUCAGUCCUUUACUGUGGCCCUGCUUUGACUGGCAGUCCCUAGCAAGUUAGGAGAUGAGAGAGGCACCACUACAGCUCUUUUCCUUCAAGAAAGUCCUAGGCCGAAGAGGGAGGAGACAGUCAUCUUGAGACGGAUCAAGUCCUCGGAAGAGCUGAGCGACCUCUGGUGCCCCCUGGUGGCCCACAGGGAAACUACUCAUGACUCACCUUCUGGAGCAGCCAGGGAAAACCUACCUGACUAGCCAGCCACCUGCCUUGCUAAGCGGUGCCCACCUCACAAACAUGGGUGCUUUGCCAGAGAAGGACCCCUGGGGUCCAUAGCUCAUGAAGUCCAAACAUAUCUAUACAUUCCCAGCAAGCACCUCUGGCUUCCCACAUCGGGGGCCACCUUGAUCCAAAGCAGGGCUGGCGAGGGUCUCAACUUGCAGGACCUGCUCAGACAUGACCAUCAUCUGAGGGGCUUUGGUAAGAAACUGAUGGCUGGGCGCGGUGGCUCACACCUGUAAUCCCAGCACUUUGGGAGGCCAAGGAGGGCGGAUCACGAGGUCAAGAGAUCGAGACCAUCCUGGCUAACAUGGUGAAACCCCAUCUCUACUAAAAAUACAAAAAAUUAGCCAGGUGUAGUCCCAGCUACUCAGGAGGCUGAGGCAGGAGAAUGGCGUGAACCCGGGAGGCAGAGCUGGCAGUGAGCUGAGACCGCAUCACUGCACUCCAGCCUGGGUGACAGAGAGAGACCCCGUCUCAAAAAAUAAAAAAAUACAAAAUAAA